CCACAGCAUGUUCACUGACAAAGUUUGAAUGGAACACAGCUAUGCCUAUUCUGUCACAUACUGACCAUGGCUGCUUUUACGCUCCGAUGACAGAGUUGGGUAAUUGUGACAGAGACCACAUGGCCUGCAAAACCAAAAAAAAAAUGCACUAUCUGGCCCAUCGCAAAAUUGUUGGCCUACUCCUCUCAAUAAAGAUCUUUCUCCCAAAGCUAUGGAUCAUAUGGCUAUCCAUAGCCAGCCACAUGGUACAACAAAAAAGCAACCAGGGCUUCAUGCCCAGAUACCUGUGUAAACUUAGAAAGUGAUUUAACUCCCAUAGAGCCUCAUUUCCUCCCUCUGGUCCCUUAUUAUAGAGCUGUUUCCAGCUCUAAAAUUACUUGAUCUCGGCAAGGCCUGAUGUUAGUUGCAAAGGGGUGGGCUGGAUGGCUUAGACGCCCCUUCAUCACGACCACAGAUUGAUGCCUAGGGAAGGGGUCUCUGCAGCAUCGUUGUUCCACAAAAGGAUGUGGUACUGCAUGCUUAAGAGGCAUUCUGAUCCCUAAAAAUCAUAACUCUAUCCACGUGACUUCAUUUUCAAGAUUGUGGCCCCAAUUACAGAAGCCAAGUGAAGCAGACAAUUAGAGGAACUGGCUAAAUGGUACCCAGCUUGGCAAAUGCUCUAUCCUGAAAGUAUAGGAUUGUGAUGUCAAUCAUAGAAGAUGCCUUAAAUCCAUCUAACUGGUGAGGCUCCUUGCUUCACCAGGCAAGCCUCUUUUCAUUUUCCGAAGGGGCAGGACUAAUUUGGGAUGAUCUGGAUAAAUGCCUGGACUGUCCCUUUGACUUGGUUAAUGAAGAUCUGGCCAGAAGCAGCACCCCCUGGCAGCCCAGAUCCAUGUUGGAAAAUCCAACUUGCAAGCAAUAGAUUCUUUUCCUCGUGAGCCUUCGAACACUGUUGACUUCAGUCCUGUUCCAAAAGUCUUGUGAGAAAGAGAAAGCUUGAUGUUUGCCAGAUGAUACUUUUUAAAGCCAAUUUUCCAAGACUUUAAAACCCUUGAGCAGCUGUGGUUAGCACCUAAUCAUAUUCUUUUGUGAAUGGGACGCCUGGUCAAAAUAAUUGGCUGUCACUUAUCCAGUGAGUCUUGUGCAUCAAGAAAAAUCCUGGGCAUUUAAUUCUAACAUUUAUCCAACCUUUUACCCUUCCCAAUAACAAAAGGCUUGUUAACAAUUGUGGUGAGGGAAGUUCUGGUUACAACUGAGAGUAGCGUGAAAUAAAAUCUAUCUGGGCAUUACUCUUUUCUAAGCUUUGAUCUCAUUUUACCUUCCUGAUAGAUCACAAAAGAUCUCAAAGUCAAGCUUAGCCCCCCACCCCCAACAAACCACAAUGCGCAAACAGCCCAAAUUAAUUGGACCCAACCUUGUCUUUAACCAAAGGCGCCUACUGGCCUCUAAGUACCUUUUUCCUAUUUUUCAUCCAUGUCUUGAGGAAGUGUAUACAAGGAUUUUUCCAUUCCAAAUAAGCAAGAAUACAAAAGCAGCAGAAAAAUGAAUUUCACUGAAUUCCUAUCGUAUGAAACUCUGUGAGAAUACUAAGUACGUAAUUACACACUCAACCUUUUGAGGAGGUUCUUGCUCGGGACUGCUAUUUCAGAACACAACGCUUCUCAAAUCAAAGAGGUUCAGCAUUGAGAGGGAUCUCAGAAGAGAGUGGUCCAGCUGCUGUGUACUCCAGAUGGUGGAAGGGAGGCUAGGGAGGGGAGGGACCUGCCCAAAGUGAGCAGGACACUGGUUGGAGGACAGGAUUCAGCUCCUACUUCUCCAUAUGCCCAGUCUCUGUAUAUAUUGGGCUGGUUCCUCUACCCCACCUCCAUUUGGACACCUCAGAAUGGAAAUGAUUGAGUGUUUUUAACACUCACAGCCAUGAGAGUGGGAAGAAGGUGCCCUGAUAUAUUGUCAUGGACACUCUAAGUGAACGUGCCUAUAUUUUCUACCAGUGGGUCUUGCUGGGUCAGACUUUCCUCUGCAACGGGGAGUCUUCUGGUCUUAUUUGCACUACCCAGGCAGCAAAGCCCCGAGCCUUCUAGAAAGCCUGCCAGAGUGAUGGAGGAUUUGUUUUGCCCAAACACCAGAACUCAGCAGAUCCAGAUGAACACUGUUUCCUGAGGAGGAGCUCAGGUGUGAGACAGUGACGAAGGGAACCGAGCACUGGCUGCAGAAAAGAAGGGCUUCUAGGAACACGAACAUGAGCUGAAGGAUGGAGGGCUUUGUCUCCUUUGAGUUCUGCUCAACGUUUAUCCCUGGGUGGACUGUGCAAGGCAAAGGGUCAGAAACAGGGUAAAGGCUACCUGGGGAUGUACUUGCCUAUAUGAAGCAUAUGUAUUCCAGAAAUCUUCAUGUAAACCGAAUCAUAGAUUUACACUAUUUUAUCAGAGAAGGUCUCUGUUAAGUUUUUAAUGCUCCUCAAGUACCAAAGUUGUCUCGCCUUUUCAACUUACACGUUCUCUGGUCCUAGCAUCCCCGGGUUCAUCCACGCCUUCAUGCCUGCAUCAAGUAUUUACUGACAGCUUACUAUGUAGAAAUAUCAUACAAGGACCACUGUGAGAGAAUUAAAUUAGGAACCAGUAUCAGAGAGGUGACUAGAAAAUCCCCAAGUCUUUGUAAAUGAAAUAUUUACUUUGAAUAAACCCAUAAGUCUAGGAAGAAAUCACAAUGGGAAUUAGAUAAUAUUUUGAACUGAAUAAUAAUGGAAAUAUCUCAUUCCAAGAGAAGUAAGGAAAAGGCCAAGCAAUGGUUGUCUUUUGUGAGGAAAAAAUAUGGCAGAAUUAAAUAGCCCUGGGAGUUUGGAAGAUCCUGUUUUAUUUAUGGUGCGGCUAUAUCAUGGGGGGCACUACUACAGAUUUGCUUAAAUGCGGCCACAGAUUCCAAUUUUACAUUUCCCUUUAUACACCCAAUAUGUAGCAUUGAUAUAGGACUUCAGAAAAGCCCACAAGUUGGUCCUCCGUUCAUAUCCUGGGUUGGAUUGCUAGUCGAUACGGAUCCCACACCCCAA
RNAcentral lists this long non-coding RNA (3025 nucleotides) under Sus scrofa (pig). Its description in RNAcentral is "lncRNA (ENSSSCG00030043508.1)". Lineage: Eukaryota; Metazoa; Chordata; Mammalia; Artiodactyla; Suidae. The record is from RNAcentral.